AAUUGACCUCAGUUUAGGCAAGGCUACCCGCCGAAUUUAAGCAUAUUACUAAGCGGAG
RNAcentral lists this ribosomal RNA (58 nucleotides) under Monomastix opisthostigma. Its description in RNAcentral is "partial 28S ribosomal RNA". Lineage: Eukaryota; Viridiplantae; Chlorophyta; Mamiellophyceae; Monomastigales; Monomastigaceae. The record is from RNAcentral.